RNAcentral lists this ribosomal RNA (420 nucleotides) under Fusobacteriota bacterium. RNAcentral describes it as "Fusobacteria bacterium partial 16S ribosomal RNA". It matches the Rfam family "Bacterial small subunit ribosomal RNA", at positions 355 to 776 of the family's 1533-position model. Lineage: Bacteria; Fusobacteriati; Fusobacteriota. The record is from RNAcentral.
UGGGGAAUAUUGCACAAUGGACGGAAGUUUGAUGCAGCGACGCCGCGUGGAGGGUGUAGGCCUUCGGGUUGUGAACUCCUUUUUCUCGCGAAAAAGGCACAGUUUUGGCUGUGUUGAUGGUAGUGGGGGAAGAAGCGCCGGCUAACUACGUGCCAGCAGCCGCGGUAAUACGUAGGGCGCGAGCGUUGUCCGGAUUUAUUGGGCGUAAAGGGUACGUAGGCGGUUUAAUAAGUCCUAAUUAAAAGGCUAUGGCUCAACCAUAGUAUGGUUAGGAAACUGUUGAACUUGAGUAGAUGAGGGGAAAGUGGAAUUCCAUGUGUAGCGGUGAAAUGCGUAGAUAUAUGGAGGAACACCAAUGGCGAAGGCAACUUUCUGGAAUCAAACUGACGCCGAGGUACGAAGGCGUGGGGAGCAAACAGG